CACAACGAUAACUGCAGCGGGUCCCUUAUGUGCAAUAGUCCAGGUAAGUUGUGGCCGACAAUUAUCACCAAUACCUUUUGCGUUAUUUCACUAUAAUCAAACUGAGUCAUAAGUGGCUGGUAUUAUUGUAAUCACCAUUAGGCCGUCUUCAUAGCUACUUCUAAUUCACCUAAGCGGCCGGACGUCUUGCUUGAUGCUCGCCGCCGGCCUCGCACUCCGCCUCAGACACCAGCUCGGCACCGCUAUGGGUCUCACACCGACGUUUUCUGGACAGGUAGACCAAAAUUGUAUCGAACUCGCAGACCGAUCCUGAAUGCGAUCAGAAUUACUCAGGCAAUUAUACGAGCACGGGGCUUACACUACGCCUCGAAAUAUGCCCCUGGCCUCGCACAACGACUGGCUGAGGUAAUAUUUGAGGCCUUAUUUUAUCGUAUUUUGCGAGAGUUCAGCUCCAUUUAGUCCUUCAAGAUGUUUUCUAAACAUGUUUCUAAUGGGUUGUGGGAUUUUAUUAAGCUACUGGAUGUAAUAGAACAUUAUCUAGCAAGGUGCGGGAGGGAGGUGAAGGCGCCUGUAUUCUUCCUAACCGUAUUGGAAGCAGAGCAUCCCUCUCAUGACCGGCGGUGUUCUCCGAGCUGCCGGGAGGAGGCGGCGGCAACCAAGCGAGCUCCUCGGCCAGCCUUAGCUCCGCCCCUUCUGCCUGGUCGGCGGUGCUGCCCUCUGAUAGCCACGCACGCUACCAGCGCAAGAGCCCGCCCGCCACCCACCUCGUCCGUCCCUCGGGUGGAAAAUCGGGCGCUGGGAGGGCAAUAAAAUUCUUGCAGGGUUACUUCUGUGUUGGUCUUGCAUACACUCUACCCUCCUUUAUUUGCGGAACGUCUCUGACGCCUCUUUACAGAGUUGCUGAAGAACUGUCGACGCUUCCUCUUCCUUCUCACGUGAUGUCAGGGUCUUCGAUGAUGGAUAACUUCCGUGCUCUGCUCCAGCUAGCACAUGCCGUCCAUUCACCCUCGGCGCCGACCAGAGCGCUGCGGUCGCUGGAGCUCAAUAGCACAGACCCGGUAAGUAAGACAGGUGACAGUACUGGAGGUGGGAAUGCUAACACCUGCUUUUACUAACAUCGAUUAUGAGAAAAAUGGGAUAAUUAUUCGGAUUAGCAGUUAAGGCUUUAUAUAAGGAUACUGUUUAUUAUAUAUUUACCAAUGUUGAUCAAGAUGUAAAGAAUUAAGUAAGGUUACUGCUUGGAUGAUAGUAAUAGAUUGAUCAGGCACGUGUUCCUCAUGCAUUUUCAUGUUAUUGGCGAUUACCUACGAAGUAAGAUUUUUUUUAUUUGUAUUCAUUUAUUUAUUUUUAUUUUUUUUGUUUCGAGGAACGUAAUUAUGGGAACAGAUUUUCCUGUUUUCUCUGCCUGGACGUAUUUUACAAGAUCAUUAGGAAGUUUAUUUUUAAGCUAAACUAAGAUGUAUUUACCUUGUACUUAUUGAGUGAAAAUCAGAUUUUGAAGGUAAUCCGUUCAUAAAGACACAAUGUAACUGUGAUAGAGUUGGCGGAGAGAGAGAGAGAGAGAGAGAGAGAGAGAGAGAGAGAGAGAGAGAGAGAGAGAGAGAGAGAGAGAGAGAGAGAGAGAGAGAGAGAGAGACUCACAACAAGAACGAGGGUCCGUGAACACAGAGAGAGUGAGCUUUCCAGUUGAUUUGAUGGCUCUCCCGGAAAAGUCUCUGGGAAGUUUUAAUGAAUGUGUAAAUUGGAUUGAUAACGAGUUAGGAAAAGUAAUUAAACUUGUAGAAUAUAUUUCCUUCGGUCUUAACACGAGUGUCCGCCGCUGAAG
Scylla paramamosain (green mud crab) is the source of this 1825-nucleotide long non-coding RNA. RefSeq lists it as uncharacterized. The record is from RefSeq and is a predicted model, not a curated record. The transcript has 5 exons. NCBI's taxonomy places the organism in Eukaryota, Metazoa, Arthropoda, Malacostraca, Decapoda, Portunidae.